RNAcentral lists this transfer RNA (76 nucleotides) under Coprobacillus sp. AF21-8LB. Its description in RNAcentral is "tRNA-Phe". It matches the Rfam family "tRNA". From Rfam's summary of the family: Transfer RNA (tRNA) molecules are approximately 80 nucleotides in length. Their secondary structure includes four short double-helical elements and three loops (D, anti-codon, and T loops). Further hydrogen bonds mediate the characteristic L-shaped molecular structure. tRNAs have two regions of fundamental functional importance: the anti-codon, which is responsible for specific mRNA codon recognition, and the 3' end, to which the tRNAs corresponding amino acid is attached (by aminoacyl-tRNA synthetases). tRNAs cope with the degeneracy of the genetic code in two manners: having more than one tRNA (with a specific anti-codon) for a particular amino acid; and 'wobble' base-pairing, i.e. permitting non-standard base-pairing at the 3rd anti-codon position. Lineage: Bacteria; Bacillati; Bacillota; Erysipelotrichia; Erysipelotrichales; Coprobacillaceae. The record is from RNAcentral.
GGUUCCGUAGCUCAGUCGGUAGAGCAGAGGACUGAAAAUCCUCGUGUCGGUGGUUCGAUUCCGCCUGGAACCACCA